GGAAAAGAAGUCCGCUGCCGAAAGCAAGAAGAGAGCUGAGAAGGCUAAGAACGCUGCCAACGCUGCCAGAGGUCAGGCGAGCAGAAUCCAAAGCAAACAGGGUGCUAAGGGUGCGCCACCCAAGGUUGCUGCUAAGUCUCGUUAAAAUUUGGGAUUCGGUAGUGGCGCCCGGUGAUUUUUGUGGAAUGGAAGGGACCAGUGCAAUUACGAAUAUCAAUGUGCUAGAGUCCCCCAUCAUCUAACAACUGGGAAUUUUGUAUUCCUUACAUAUCAGAACUCUUCUAGGCGAAGAUAGUUUUCUGCUAUGGGACGUUUUGCAAGUACGAUGUUCUAAUGCAAAUGGAUUCCUGCUAUUUUUCUUUCUUAUUUCUUUUUACGCUUUCAAUGUACUGUGAUCUAGUUUAAAUAAAGAGAGAACUCGGUUAGC
This 427-nucleotide small RNA is filed under the name Histoplasma ohiense. Its description in RNAcentral is "hypothetical lncRNA". Lineage: Eukaryota; Fungi; Ascomycota; Eurotiomycetes; Onygenales; Ajellomycetaceae. The record is from RNAcentral.